Girardinichthys multiradiatus is the source of this 1465-nucleotide long non-coding RNA. RefSeq lists it as uncharacterized. The transcript is spliced from 2 exons. The record is from RefSeq and is a predicted model, not a curated record. NCBI's taxonomy places the organism in Eukaryota, Metazoa, Chordata, Actinopteri, Cyprinodontiformes, Goodeidae.
CACUUUUAUUUUAGUGCGGUGUGUACUUGUUUGAUACAACCCCAUUUUAGCAGAAUUUAAGGGGGGUGUAUGUAACAUAGUUAAAAUGGUUCAGGUUAAAUCCUGCUAAAAUGCACCAUCUGCUGGUAAAAAGUCGUAUUGUAUUCACCUUAGAAAGAGCGGGGUAUUAUGGGUAAUCCUCAGAGUCAUGAGGAUCAUUGACGAGGUAACGUGUCUCUGCUGUGAUAAAGAAAUAUUAUUCAUGCAUUUUAUAAAAUAUGUUUAUGGUUUCUGUUUUCUUGCAUAUUAUUGAAAUAUGUUUAAUCCAGGUCACGCCAGUUCUGCUAUUAUAUUGUUUUGUCGUGUUUAAGAAUCGUUUAGUUUGUGAGAAAGUGUGAUGGGAAUUUCCCACGCGGUAACACUAUGGCUCCUCCUUGCAGGAGCUUGUUUAUGCCAGAGACUGACCUUAUCUCGAUGCCCAUUGUGUGAAAUGCAGGUUCUGUGCAGACCCGCUGAGUCCAGACAUAGCUUGGUGAAGACUGUGACAUCUCCACUUCCCUCGGCCUCACUGCAACUGCCUUCAUCCAAUUUACCAUGAAAGGAGUCCAGACAGCCCCAUAAUAUGACCUGCAGCUGCUUCAAUUGAGCAUGGUCGACAACUCUGGGCCCAGGCUUUACACAAUAACCAGCUGGCUAUCUACAGAGGCCGUUUGGCAGCCUGCUACCCUUUGAUAAGGUCCACUGCCCAGGGACAGAGUGGAUAGGUCCAUAUGGCAGCAUUUCGUAGUAAACAGUGCCCCCUGGUGGCCUGGGGAACAAAGCACAUUUCUUGUGCCAAAUGAGUGAUAAACAUCCGAAAUCUGAGUGUAGUCAGGUGGUGGCUGCAGUGCUGGACACAGACGGCAGCAAUGUUUCCUCUUAAAUUUUAUGCAGCAGCAGUGCCUAGUGUAUUUUCUGCUGUUGUGGUUCCACGCGUGGUGUCGCGUCAGUCACAGUUAUCUUUCCACAGCAGGCGGCUGCACUGAGCCUAUUUAUUUUCUUCAGAUACUUUAUCACAGUGGAAGCAUGAUUUGUCAAAGCUUUGGAUGUGUAUGUUUGGAGGAAGGACAGAGGACGAAAAGAAAAAAAUGAAGCUAUUUUUGUCAGGAUGCGUCAUUUUCAAGCCUCACAGGCAUUCAUUUUCUUUUUAGGAAAAUACAAUGAAUUCAGAUGUGCAAAUAUCCAGUUUUACCUGCAGACUGGCAAUGACUAACUUGCUACAUUUGUUCACACAGUAUUGUAUCAGCUGAGAAGAAAAUAAAAUGACUAAAAUGACUUUAAAACAUUUUAAAACUGUCAUCCAGAUUUGUAACCGUUCAACAUUUUUACAUUUUGUCACAUUACAGCAACAAACUUUAUUGGAUUUUUAUUGAGAUUUUGUGUGGUUGAACGCAAAGUAGUUGUUAAUUAUGAUACACAGUUUGAUAAAUAAAUUAAAAUUUAUAAC